This 368-nucleotide long non-coding RNA is filed under the name Theobroma cacao (cacao). RNAcentral describes it as "long non-coding RNA (TCAC_LNC000551)". Lineage: Eukaryota; Viridiplantae; Streptophyta; Magnoliopsida; Malvales; Malvaceae. The record is from RNAcentral.
CCUAACCUCACUGAGCUCGAGAUUGCACAAGCCUACUUCCAUCAUCAUAAAAUUCAGUUUUACUCCUUAAAUAAAACAAUAGUACUAAAGAUUAGAAACUGAUCAAUUUACAAAAUAAAAAAAUGAAAAAAAAAGUAGAAAAGGGCAAAACAAAAGAGAUGGGGAAUUACCUUUUCUCCUCUAUGCUUUGGUUCCAUAAAUUCAAAGAGACCUUGCCGCAGAAGAUCAAGUUAAAAAAACCAACAAGAAAAAAAUGCAAUGAGAAAAAGAGAACGACAAUUGGAAUCAAUUUUGAGGCUUCCUUGCAGAUUUAAAGAAGAAAGAAUAAGAGGCACCAGCUUAAGAACCAAACUUCAAACUUCUCUUUU